AUGGCAGGACAAGCGUUUAAGUUUCUUCCACUCUUUGACCGAGUAUUGGUUGAAAGGAGUGCUGUUGAAACUGUAACCAAAGGAGGCAUUAUGCUUCCAGAAAAAUCUCAAGGAAAAGUAUUGCAAGCAACAGUAGUCGCUGUUGGAUCGGGUUCUAAAGGAAAGGGUGGAGAGAUUCAACCAGUUCGUGUGAAAGUUGGAGAUAAAGUUCUUCUCCCAUAACAUGGAGGCACCAAAGUAGUUCUAGAUGACAAGGAUUAUUUCCUAUUUAGAGAUGGUGACGUUCUUGGAAAGUACGUAAACUGA
RNAcentral lists this long non-coding RNA (306 nucleotides) under Homo sapiens (human). RNAcentral describes it as "non-protein coding lnc-SYNE2-4:1". The record is from RNAcentral. Lineage: Eukaryota; Metazoa; Chordata; Mammalia; Primates; Hominidae.